GUAUAUUACCACUGUAAAGAGUGUGAAGACACCCAAGGACAGCUUACGAUUUUGAGGUUUCUUGGGGAGCAUGACCUUGCACAGAAAAUACAGUUGUUAAAGGUGGAGCAGAUUGUUUGGGUGGUUGGAAGACAUUGAAGGAGCCUCCCUGUCACUACCUUUGGUCUCCCAAAACGUAUUAUAUUUAGGAACAGAGGGAGCACCACUUAUGCAUUCUGCAUCUAGGAUCAUAUAUGUGUUCCAGUGGCUUACUGCAAUUAUGAUUUAAACAAAAGCCAGAAAUAUAUGUACAUAAUCUUGCACCAUGUGCUACUUCACAGUAUAUCACCACUGUAAA
Molecule: long non-coding RNA, 337 nt
Organism: Lolium rigidum
Lineage: Eukaryota; Viridiplantae; Streptophyta; Magnoliopsida; Poales; Poaceae
Exons: 3
Source: RefSeq, a predicted model, not a curated record